UCACUUUUCAAUCGUUAUUAUUAUAGAUAUUAUAUAGAUUAAUAAUUGUUCUCAUUCGAUGAGCGUCCAGUGACUCUACAUUUAUCAACAUUAGGAAAGUUACCAACAUUAGAUUGCACAAUUCUUUUAUAGAGAGAGAGACUUAAGUGAGAACUCAGCUGUUCGCGUCCGUCGCGUCAUCGCGUUUCGUGUGCCGCUCUUGCGGUCCCUAUGUCAGUGUAUUUUUAAAAUUUUGUGUCGAAUAGUUAAUAAAAAUCAUCAUCAUGGUGUCCAGCACAUUUGAGCUUAACAGAUUGAUGAACGAGUUAGAGAUAACCGAACUAGAGGGUAUUAAUUCUUCGAAAUAUACACCUGCAAAAGUUUAUAUGCGACUGCUGGCUAUCUAUCUUCAUCAGAAUGAUCUGUGCAACGCAAAGUACCUUUGGAAGCGAAUUCCCGCGGACGUGAAGACCGCCCACGAGGAGCUCGGACGAGUGUGGACGGUAGGGCAAUACAUGUGGCAGCGUAACUGGCCCGCGGUUCACACGGCCCUUAACGUAGAGUGGAGCGACGACAUCAAAGACCUUAUGAUAGCCCUAAAAGACAAUGUACGAGAACGGCUAAUGAGGCUGAUAUCAAAGGCGUAUUCCUCUCUAAACUUGUCGACCAUGGCGACGAUGAGCGGAAUGUCGUUGGACGAGGCGCGGCAGGCCGCGAUCGACAGGGGCUGGAACGUUGACGGUACCAUAGUGCAGCCGUGCAAACAGAUCGACGAGGAACAGUACAAUCAAUCGGAUAAGAUCUGCCUGACGGAGGAGCAGCUGCAGAAGCUCACGCAGUUUGUGUCCUUCCUGGAGAAUUGAGGGGGCUCCGCUGUUCCCUGGAUCUCCCGGGUUGCCGUGCGGUCUCUGGAUGACGGACUUUGCAUAUAACUCCUCUCGCAAUCUCGCCUCGUAAUCCUAUUAUAUAAAGGAGGAAGUGCGCGCCAAAGGUAGCAUCAUCGGUGUUCGCGUUCGUAAAAUAAGCAUAUCCCAUGAGAGAAAUUGAGAGGGGAGAAUGAGGGAGAGAGGGGGGAGGAGGGAGAACGAGAGAGAAGAGGGAAAGUGACAGAGAUAGAGACAGAGAGUCUACCCACGCGAUUUGUCCGUUCGAUCGGAAGGAUAAUUCAAUGAAGCUCCUCGCAAGCGUGGAAUCAACAACUAUAUUAAUCGAUAAUCAGCUGUGCGUGCGAGAGGGCGGACUGGCAUUUGCGGAAAGGGAUCCUCCGGCAGGAGCACUCCUCUCCUCUCGUCUUGUCUCCGUUCCGUCCUUUGCCGCUCCUCUCCUCCACUCGCUGUUGAAUCCCAUGAAAAUACACUGCCGUUCGCGACCGUUCGCAUCGCUGUAAUUAUCAAAGCGGAUCGUGGCCGCAGUAAGAAUCGCGCAGGUAGCCGUUAACGUACCUCGCAGGUGGCGACAGCGCACACCUCUCUCUCUUCAGCGCGGACACGCGCGGCGUGCGAACGUGUUAUCACGCGUGGACUCUUCGUACGUAGCGUAUUUUCUUCGAGUCGAAAUAAAAGAGGAAAGGAAGUCGAGAGAAAAGUAAGAAAAAGGACUGGAACUGUUUCGAGCGGCGGAUUGCCCCGCUGGAUUUUGAUAAAGUGUGUUACAGCAGCAACAACUUCUAAACAGCGCGCCUUUACCAAAUUCUCACACCUGUGGUCCCGACAUUUCGCGAAGCGUCGGAAAACGUGAGAAUCGCCACGAAGAUCUACCACCAUUAAUUUCUAUUCGCGAAACGAUUGUUUCGAUUUUUGCUGAUCGCGCCAUGGUGCACUCGACUUGGACCGCGCGCGCGAAUAUUUCGCUGGGAAUAUGCAUGCUAACGAGAGAAGUUGAAACGCUCUCCUCGGCGCUUGGAUUCACUUCUAUUAUGCGGAAUAGAAUGCAUAUCAUGCUGUGUACCCUCCGGAGUCACGAAGGUGAAAGCUUUUGUAACGCCGCCUUUUUUAGUACAGUAUAAAAGUCGUGCUUUUAUAGAAAGUGCUUUUCCUUCGUGAUUUCUCAGAGAUGACGAAGGGAGGGAAAUUUUUGUUUAUAAAAUGUGUUAAUUAAAAAAAUGUAUUAUAUUAAAUGAUUUGUUGGACGUGAACAAACUUUUUGCACGAGUCACAAUGUAUAGUAUAUAAAAUUUUACACGAAUAAUUUAUUUAUAAUGUGAUUAAUAAUGUGCAUGAACAGAAUAAAAAUAAUUAUGAAAUGUAA
RNAcentral lists this unclassified non-coding RNA (2226 nucleotides) under Monomorium pharaonis (pharaoh ant). RNAcentral describes it as "cOP9 signalosome complex subunit 8, transcript variant X2". Lineage: Eukaryota; Metazoa; Arthropoda; Insecta; Hymenoptera; Formicidae. The record is from RNAcentral.